UACAGAGGUGGCAAGCGUUGUUCGGAAUUACUGGGCGUAAAGGGCGCGUAGGCGGCGUGACAAGUCACUUGUGAAAUCUCCGGGCUUAACUCGGAACGGUCAAGUGAUACUGUCGUGCUAGAGUACAGAAGGGGCAACUGGAAUUCUCGGUGUAGCGGUGAAAUGCGUAGAUAUCGAGAGGAACACCUGCGGCGAAGGCGGGUUGCUGGGCUGAUACUGACGCUGAGGCGCGAAAGCCAGGGGAGCGAACGGG
This 253-nucleotide ribosomal RNA is filed under the name uncultured bacterium. RNAcentral's name for it is "partial 16S ribosomal RNA". It matches the Rfam family "Bacterial small subunit ribosomal RNA", at positions 524 to 776 of the family's 1533-position model. The record is from RNAcentral.